This 219-nucleotide unclassified non-coding RNA is filed under the name Hevea brasiliensis (rubber tree). Lineage: Eukaryota; Viridiplantae; Streptophyta; Magnoliopsida; Malpighiales; Euphorbiaceae. The record is from RNAcentral.
GAAACACUCAAAUCUUUACUUUUUUCAUCCAAAUUUUUCCUCAAAUCAGAUCUUUUACUAGCUAUCUGAAAAGGGUUCCCCUCAAAACUCUCACUUUUCCAAGUUUUCUUUGUAAUCCCAACAACCCCAUCAACAGAAACACUCAAACUUUUACAUUUUUCAUCCAAAUUUUUUCUCAAAUCUUUACAUUUUUCAUCCAAUUUUUUGCUCAAAUCAGAC